Molecule: long non-coding RNA, 340 nt
Filed under: Salvia miltiorrhiza (redroot sage)
Lineage: Eukaryota; Viridiplantae; Streptophyta; Magnoliopsida; Lamiales; Lamiaceae
Description: long non-coding RNA (SMIL_LNC005794)
Source: RNAcentral
UGAAUAGAGUAUUGUCACAAACAAUACUCGUUUGGAUCUUGUAUCCAUCACAUACUAGACAAACAUGUUUCAGUCCAAUAAUUUGGUUUAGGCCAAAUAGGAUUUGGAAAUACUAAACAAUACUACCAUUUUGUUACAAAAUGAUGCAACAUAUGUAUAAAGUAGGUUAUCUCAAAUUCCCAAUGACUAACGUCUUUAUAGAUAUGGGAGUGAUUUUGGAGAGGCCAUUGCAAGCAGAAGAUCUCUCUCAUUCCCUUGUGGAAUCAUCUCGCAGAUCACGGCUUUCAGCUCCACGCUGUAUUUCUUCUUCAGAUGCUUCUCUAUCUCGCCCAUGUCCGCC